Molecule: ribosomal RNA, 263 nt
Filed under: uncultured bacterium
Lineage: Bacteria
Description: partial 16S ribosomal RNA
Rfam family: Bacterial small subunit ribosomal RNA
Source: RNAcentral
GAGGUCCUACGGGGGGCAGCAGUAGGGAAUUUUCGUCAAUGGGCGCAAGCCUGAACGAGCAAUGCCGCGUGAACGAGGAAGGUCUUCGGAUCGUAAAGUUCUGUUGAAGGGGAAAAAGAGCGGAGAGAGGAAAUGGUCUCCGAUUGAUAUUACCCUUCGAGGAAGUCACGGCUAACUACGUGCCAGCAGCCGCGGUAAUACGUAGGUGGCAAGCGUUAUCCGGAAUUACUGGGUGUAAAGGGUGUGUAGGCGGGGUUUCAAGU